Molecule: ribosomal RNA, 960 nt
Filed under: uncultured bacterium
Lineage: Bacteria
Description: bacterial SSU rRNA
Rfam family: Bacterial small subunit ribosomal RNA
Source: RNAcentral
GACGUAGGGGGCAAGCGUUGUCCGGAAUUACUGGGCGUAAAGGGCGUGUAGGCGGUGGCGUACGUAGCGGUUAUAAGCCGUCGGCUCACCCGACGGAUGGUCGCUAAACGGCGCGACUGGAGGGCAGGAGAGGUGCGUGGAAUUCCUGGUGGAGCGGUGAAAUGCGUAGAGAUCAGGAAGAACACCAGUGGCGAAGGCGACGCACUGGCCUGUCCCUGACGCUGAGGCGCGAUAGCGUGGGGAGCAAACGGGAUUAGAUACCCCGGUAGUCCACGCCGUAAACGAUGGGUACUAGGUGUCGCCCGGGUCCACCGGGCGGUGCCGGAGCUAACGCACUAAGUACCCCGCCUGGGGAGUACGGCCGCAAGGUUGAAACUCAAAGGAAUUGACGGGGGCCCGCACAAGCAGUGGAGCAUGUGGUUUAAUUCGACGCAACGCGCAGAACCUUACCAGGACUAGACGGGAUCGUGAGCGCCGCGAAAGCGGCGGGCGGCUUCGGCCGAGCGAUCGUCAGGUGCUGCAUGGUUGUCGUCAGCUCGUGUCGUGAGAUGUUGGGUUAAGUCCCGCAACGAGCGCAACCCCUGUCGUGUGUUGCCAGCGGUUCGGCCGGGCACUCACGCGAGACAGCCGGGGACGACCCGGAGGAAGGUGGGGAUGACGUCAAAUCCGCAUGGCCUUUAUGUCCUGGGCUACACACGUGCUACAAUGGCCGCGACAAUGGGUCGCUACGACGCGAGUCGAUGCUAACCCCCAAACGCGGUCUCAGUUCGGAUUGCAGGCUGCAACCCGCCUGCAUGAAGCCGGAAUUGCUAGUAAUCGCGGAUCAGCAUGCCGCGGUGAAUCCGUUCCCGGGCCUUGUACACACCGCCCGUCACACCACGAGAGUUGGCCACACCCGAAGCCGGGCCCGCGAACCUUUCGAGGACGCGGCCGUCGACGGUGGGGUUGGUAAUUGGGGUG